AUUGCCCCAGUAACGGCGAGUGAAGCGGCAACAGCUCAAAUUUGAAAUCUGGCCCUAGGCCCGAGUUGUAAUUUGCAGAGGAUGCUUUGGGCGCGGUGCCUUCCGAGUUGCCUGGAACGGGACGCCAUAGAGGGUGAGAGCCCCGUCUGGUCGGACACCAAGCCUAUGUAAAGCUCCUUCGACGAGUCGAGUAGUUUGGGAAUGCUGCUCAAAAUGGGAGGUAUAUGUCUUCUAAAGCUAAAUACCGGCCAGAGACCGAUAGCGCACAAGUAGAGUGAUCGAAAGAUGAAAAGCACUUUGAAAAGAGAGUUAAACAGCACGUGAAAUUGUUGAAAGGGAAGCGUUCAUGACCAGACUUGGCCCGGUUGAUCAUCCAGCGUUCUCGCUGGUGCACUCUGCCGGUCCAGGCCAGCAUCAGUUCGCCGCGGGGGAUAAAGGUUUCGGGAAUGUGGCUCCUCGGGAGUGUUAUAGCCCGUUGCGUAAUACCCUGCGGUGGACUGAGGUCCGCGCUUCUGCAAGGAUGCUGGCGUAAUGGUCAUCAACGACCCGUCUUGAAACACGGACCAAGGAGUCGUCUUCGUAUGCGAGUGUUCGGGUGUAAAACCCCUGCGCGUAAUGAAAGUGAACGGAGGUGGGAGCUUCGGCGCACCAUCGACCGAUCCUGAUGUUCUCGGAUGGAUUUGAGUAAGAGCAUACGGGGCCGGACCCGAAAGAAGGUGAACUAUGCCUGUAUAGGGUGAAGCCAGAGGAAACUCUGGUGGAGGCUCGCAGCGGUUCUGACGUGCAAAUCGAUCGUCAAAUAUGGGCAUGGGGGCGAAAGACUAAU
Molecule: ribosomal RNA, 826 nt
Filed under: Septomyrothecium uniseptatum
Lineage: Eukaryota; Fungi; Ascomycota; Sordariomycetes; Hypocreales; Stachybotryaceae
Description: eukaryotic LSU rRNA
Rfam family: Eukaryotic large subunit ribosomal RNA
Source: RNAcentral